Molecule: ribosomal RNA, 393 nt
Filed under: uncultured bacterium
Lineage: Bacteria
Description: partial 16S ribosomal RNA
Rfam family: Bacterial small subunit ribosomal RNA
Source: RNAcentral
AUACGGAGGAUGCGAGCGUUAUCCGGAUUUAUUGGGUUUAAAGGGUGCGUAGGCGGCCUUUUAAGUCAGCGGUGAAAGUCUGUGGCUCAACCAUAGAAUUGCCGUUGAAACUGGGGGGCUUGAGUAUGUUUGAGGCAGGCGGAAUGCGUGGUGUAGGGGUGAAAUGCUUAGAUAUCACGCAGAACCCCGAUUGCGAAGGCAGCCUGCCAAGCCAUGACUGACGCUGAUGCACGAAAGCGUGGGGAUCAAACAGGAUUAGAUACCCUGGUAGUCCACGCAGUAAACGAUGAUCACUAGCUGUUUGCGAUACACUGUAAGCGGCACAGCGAAAGCGUUAAGUGAUCCACCUGGGGAGUACGCCGGCAACGGUGAAACUCAAAUGAAUUGACGGGG